RNAcentral lists this ribosomal RNA (477 nucleotides) under uncultured bacterium. RNAcentral's name for it is "partial 16S ribosomal RNA". It matches the Rfam family "Bacterial small subunit ribosomal RNA", at positions 28 to 507 of the family's 1533-position model. The record is from RNAcentral.
GAUUAACGCUGGCGGCGUGCAUAACACAUGCAAGUCGAACGAUGAAACUUAGUAGACUUCUUCGGAAAGACACUAAGCGGCUUAGUGGCGAACGGGUGAGUAACGCGUGAGUAACCUGCCUUACACAAGGGGAUAGCCUUUGGAAACGAAGAAUAAUACCCUAUAAAACCAUAAAAGCACAUGCUAGAAUGGUCAAAGUGAUAGCGGUGUAAGAUGGACUUGCGUCUGAUUAGCUAGUUGGUGAGAUAAAAGCUCACCAAGGCAACGAUCAGUAGCCGGCUUGAGAGAGUGUACGGCCACAUUGGGACUGAGACACGGCCCAGACUCCUACGGGAGGCAGCAGUGGGGAAUUUUGCACAAUGGGGGAAACCCUGAUGCAGCGACGCCGCGUGAUUUAGAAGGCCUUCGGGUUGUAAAAAUCUUUUGUAUAGGAAGAAAAUGACAGUACUAUACGAAUAAGGUCCGGCUAAUUACGUG